UACGUAGGGGGCAAGCGUUGUCCGGAAUUAUUGGGCGUAAGAGCGCGUAGGCGGUCCGAUAAGUCGGCUGUGAAAGUCAGGGGCUCAACCCUUGGAAGCCGGCCGAUACUGUCGGACUAGAGUCCGGAAGAGGCGAGUGGAAUUCCCGGUGUAGCGGUGAAAUGCGCAGAUAUCGGGAGGAACACCAAUGGCGAAAGCAGCUCUCUGGGACGGUACUGACGCUGAGACGCGAAAGCGUGGGGAGCGAACAGG
This 252-nucleotide ribosomal RNA is filed under the name uncultured bacterium. RNAcentral describes it as "partial 16S ribosomal RNA". It matches the Rfam family "Bacterial small subunit ribosomal RNA", at positions 524 to 776 of the family's 1533-position model. The record is from RNAcentral.